Molecule: ribosomal RNA, 253 nt
Filed under: uncultured bacterium
Lineage: Bacteria
Description: partial 16S ribosomal RNA
Rfam family: Bacterial small subunit ribosomal RNA
Source: RNAcentral
UACGUAGGGACCGAGCGUUGUCCGGAAUCAUUGGGCGUAAAGGGCGCGUAGGUGGCUUCUUAAGCGUGCGGUGAAAGCCUGGGGCUCAACCCCGGGUCGGCCGUGCGAACUGGGGGGCUGGAGCACUGUAGAGGCAGGCGGAAUUCCGGGUGUAGCGGUGGAAUGCGUAGAGAUCCGGAAGAACACCGGUGGCGAAGGCGGCCUGCUGGGCAGUUGCUGACACUGAGGCGCGACAGCGUGGGGAGCAAACAGG